RNAcentral lists this ribosomal RNA (253 nucleotides) under uncultured bacterium. RNAcentral's name for it is "partial 16S ribosomal RNA". It matches the Rfam family "Bacterial small subunit ribosomal RNA", at positions 524 to 776 of the family's 1533-position model. The record is from RNAcentral.
UACAGAGGUGGCAAGCGUUGUUCGGAAUUACUGGGCGUAAAGGGCGCGUAGGCGGCCUGCUAAGUCGAACGUGAAAUCCCUGGGCUCAACCCAGGAACUGCGUCCGAUACUGGAUGGCUUGAAUCCGGGAGAGGGAUGCAGAAUUCCAGGUGUAGCGGUGAAAUGCGUAGAUAUCUGGAGGAAUACCGGUGGCGAAGGCGGCAUCCUGGACCGGCACUGACGCUGAGGAGCGAAAGCCAGGGGAGCAAACGGG